Molecule: ribosomal RNA, 465 nt
Filed under: uncultured bacterium
Lineage: Bacteria
Description: partial 16S ribosomal RNA
Rfam family: Bacterial small subunit ribosomal RNA
Source: RNAcentral
GACGAACGCUGGCGGCGUGCUUAACACAUGCAAGUCGAACGGAAAGGCCCCUUUUGGGGUACUCGAGUGGCGAACGGGUGGGUAACACGUGAGUAACCUGCCCUUGACUUCGGGAUAACUUCAGGAAACUGGGGCUAAUACCGGGUAGGAAUCCUUGCUGCAUGGUGGGGGUUGGAAAGCUUCGGCGGUUUUGGAUGGACUCGAGGCUUAUCAGCUUGUUGGUGGGGUAGUGGCUUACCAAGGCUUUGACGGGUAGCCGGCCCGGGAGGGCGACCGGCCACAUUGGGACUGGGACACGGACCCGACUCCGACGGGAGGGAGAGGUGGGGAAGAUUGAUAAAGGAGCGGGAGCCUGAUGCAGCAACGCCGCGGGCGGGAUGACGGCCUUCGGGUUGUAAACCGAUUUCAGCAGGGGCGAAGCUUGUGGUGACGGUACCUGCAGAAGAAGCACCGGCUAACUACGUG